This 1013-nucleotide ribosomal RNA is filed under the name Salmonella enterica subsp. enterica serovar Typhimurium. RNAcentral describes it as "partial 23S ribosomal RNA". It matches the Rfam family "Bacterial large subunit ribosomal RNA", at positions 667 to 1594 of the family's 2925-position model. Lineage: Bacteria; Pseudomonadati; Pseudomonadota; Gammaproteobacteria; Enterobacterales; Enterobacteriaceae. The record is from RNAcentral.
CGGAGGGAAACCGAGUCUUAAUUGGGCGUUAAGUUGCAGGGUAUAGACCCGAAACCCGGUGAUCUAGCCAUGGGCAGGUUGAAGGUUGGGUAACACUAACUGGAGGACCGAACCGACUAAUGUUGAAAAAUUAGCGGAUGACCUGUGGCUGGGGGUGAAAGGCCAAUCAAACCGGGAGAUAGCUGGUUCUCCCCGAAAGCUAUUUAGGUAGCGCCUCGUGAAUUCAUCUCCGGGGGUAGAGCACUGUUUCGGCUAGGGGGCCAUCCCGGCUUACCAACCCGAUGCAAACUGCGAAUACCGGAGAAUGUUAUCACGGGAGACACACGGCGGGUGCUAACGUCCGUCGUGAAGAGGGAAACAACCCAGACCGCCAGCUAAGGUCCCAAAGUCAUGGUUAAGUGGGAAACGAUGUGGGAAGGCCCAGACAGCCAGGAUGUUGGCUUAGAAGCAGCCAUCAUUUAAAGAAAGCGUAAUAGCUCACUGGUCGAGUCGGCCUGCGCGGAAGAUGUAACGGGGCUAAACCAUGCACCGAAGCUGCGGCAGCGAACGUAUCACCCAAGACAACUUUACGGAGUUGACGAUUGACGGAGCGAAGCGACGUCAAAGCGUUCAUUAAAGUCGAGUUGGCUUAGGGAUACGUUCGUUGGGUAGGGGAGCGUUCUGUAAGCCUGUGAAGGUGUGUCGUGAGGCAUGCUGGAGGUAUCAGAAGUGCGAAUGCUGACAUAAGUAACGAUAAAGCGGGUGAAAAGCCCGCUCGCCGGAAGACCAAGGGUUCCUGUCCAACGUUAAUCGGGGCAGGGUGAGUCGACCCCUAAGGCGAGGCCGAAAGGCGUAGUCGAUGGGAAACGGGUUAAUAUUCCCGUACUUGGUGUUACUGCGAAGGGGGGACGGAGAAGGCUAUGUUGGCCGGGCGACGGUUGUCCCGGUUUAAGCGUGUAGGUGUGUGUUCCAGGUAAAUCCGGUUCACUUUAACACUGAGGCGUGACGACGAGGCACUACGGUGCUGAAGCAAC